This is a long non-coding RNA of Takifugu rubripes (torafugu), 4779 nucleotides long. The record is from Ensembl. NCBI's taxonomy places the organism in Eukaryota, Metazoa, Chordata, Actinopteri, Tetraodontiformes, Tetraodontidae.
GAGAGGACGGCGCUGUCCGAGACCCUCCCUGAGGGUUCCACUGGUCAGGCCUGCGUCAGAGAACAUUCCAGAGCUGACGGCUGAACCGGUCUAGGAGCUCCGGGGACCCCUGGAGGGCCCCAGAGUUUCUCCUGGGCGCCUCAGGAGACCGCCGAGGCCUGAUCCCAGAGCCUCCUCUGUGAGGGUCUGUGUGAGUGUGGGAGCACCGCGGCUUGAUCAUCACUUGCUGUUGCUACUGCUGUGUUUGUGCUUCUGAUCCUUUAGAACUGAUGAAGACUAAAAUGGUUUUUAUUUACUUCAGCCUAGAAUAUUCCCACCAAACACCUGUGAUUCCCACCUGACCACCGUAACACGUCUUGGUCCAGCGUUCCUCCUGGAUGGAUGCAGACAUACAGCAAAUUGGUGCGGUGGUGGCGGCGGGUCCUCUUGCUGCCUGAUGGCAGCUCUGGCCCCUCUAAAGAGACAUGGGUGGGUGGUGGGGGGGGAUCUCUGAAGCAGGUCUUUCAAGUCCACGUUGAUUCCCAUACACCUCCUCCACGGCGUCGCAACAUCCAGCGCCACACGCAGCAGACGGGCUGGAGGAGUCCGUCUCUGCAGCCUUUCUUGGGCACCCCGCUCCCGUCUGCACCCCCUUUUCUUGUCUGAGGGUUAUUGAAGAGGGGGGCACCCAUGGAAGGAGCGUUAUUAGCGUGCAUGUGUGUAUCUGCGUGUGGCUUUGGAGGCUUAAUCCCACAGAGUUGCUGCGGGAUGAGAAACAUAUGCGGCGUGUUACAGCCGCAUCAAUGGCGUCCUCUGUUUCACCAUCAAAGCUUGGGAAUGUCUUUAUGUGUGCUGCUGUUUCUGUCUGAUAAUCCCACCACCGCCUUAUGCCAUCGCAGCCGCUUUGAUUAGUGUCCUUUGCAGACGAUUUUAAUGCAAUCGCUAUUUAUCAUUGAAACAAAAUCUCUAUGAGAGUAAUUUCGGCUUGUAACUGAUAUUUAUUCCAGUACUACAGCAGAACCUUCCACUUUUAGAGGUGACUAUCACACUGGCCAUCAAAUCUCAGCCAACCCGCUUUUAAAUAAAUCAACUUCAAUUAGCUAACAUGUAAUUGAAAUAUAUAUACGCGUUGCCAUGGCAACUGGAACAAGUGUUUCUAAAAUGUGACCCGUUGAGAUCAGAACAGGCAAGGACCUCCUGCAACAGUCAGCCAUCGCUCUUCAAAAUAAACAGACCACCCGCAGUUCUUACAAAGAGCAAUGACAAAGAAUGAAAAGAAAAAGGUGAAAUCCUGCAAUUAUUUAGACUUAUGACACAUUAAAAACAAAUGUAUCGAGUCUCUUCGGUGUCUCAUCCUGCCUAAGAGGAAAUAGACACACCAGAGAAUCAGGAGUGUGAGGUCACGACCUCUGCAGGCUUCACUUCCUCCCUGUGACCAAGAGGAACGACACACGCCCCAUGGAACCAGUUUUAUCCUGGAGCGUGCUUAAAUAAAAGCUGAAGCACCAUUUUGAACCACAUUUAUCCAUGAAGCAGCAGCGUGUCCUUGCUCCUCUGCAGAGCUGCAGUUGUGUCUGUUCAGGUAAAAUCAGACCAAAGUUGGACUCAUUUGGAUCUUCAGGAUCUGGCCUGCGUUUGGACAAUGCUGCAUUUUCAGGCUGAUGCUGUGGAUGUUCAGGAGGUUCAGGAGGCCUGUUCUACUCCAAGUGUCCCUAAUCACCAACACUUACUCCUGAUUACUCAUUGUCCUGGACAAGACCACAGACAGCUGUAGGAGGCCAUUAAGAUGUCCUCUUUCCUGGGGGACAGUCAGUCACACAGGCAGAGGUCAAGUGAGGAGCGCCGACUUCCUUCCUCUUCCUGCCCCCACACAUCUCAUGUGAAGGGUUUGAUUCUUCCCCAGAGCCGUCUAGAGGAGUCAGGCUGGACCCGAUGCCUUUAGCAGGGUCUCAGGGAGGAACAAUGCACAGGGUGCACACACGCAGGUCCGCCUCCCUUUUUGUGUCUCAGCCUUGAUAAGUUUGGGAGGUAAUGGUGGGGUUCAGCGUAAAAUGGUUGCCAUGACUCCCUGGGAAAUAUGUCACUUAAGACCUCGCAGCGUGUUUCUGCUGAUUUGAAGAGAAGCUGCAGACUAAAUGUUGAAAAUAAGUGGGGUGACCUUGCGGGGGUGACCUCGGGUUCUUGUUAUGUUCCCUCGUUUUAGGCAUUAAGUGGAUGCUUUUAUGCAGAGACGCUGACAUGUGAGAACAGCACAAACAAGCCUAAAUCCCAGCACAUUCUUCUAAUUAUAGCAUUCUCCAAGGCACGGCGGUACACAAACACGUCAGGAAAUGCCACUUCAGUCUGUUUAAAUAUCCAGAAACUUUUCAAUCAGCCGUGUGGAAGCACUCAACAUUACUCACCUAUAGUCUUUCCACAAGUUCAGCUACUACAGUUACUUUGCAAUUUAGUUUAUUAAUGAAAAUACAUUCAACAUAUAAAGUGACAGUUCAUGUUUCAUGUGUGUUUUUAUCAGAAGGUGUUGGAAAAUUGCCUCCUUUGACUUUGGCUGUUCCACCUGUGAGUCAUUGUCUCCCAGCAGAUUUAAGGCCGUCUCCUCCCCAGGGCUGAUCUCCUGACUGCUGUCAGAUGCUAGAGGGUUGAUGGAUGCUAGCGUGUGUUUAUGACAAUACUGAGCAGAAAAUGGGCUAAAGCAAAAUGAGCUGGACAGUCGGAUUUAACUUGAAAUUAGGAAACAACUAAAUAAGAAGCCCCCUCACAUUAUUCUGACUUGUGACAAUCAACUCCAAUAUAAAUAACAAAAUACAUAAAUGCACUUUUAAUAACGGAUAAAGGUCUCGGUGUGAGAGGUGCAGGUUCCAGGACCGAACCUGUAAUUUAGAAAAACAAUCUUCUGGAAUCAUUUACUGGUGCUUCUGGCUCAGAACUCUUGUAUAUAUUCUGACCACUAGAGGUCUCCAGAUCCUACACAGACUCUCAGGAUCUAGCAGGAUUUAAGCUAAAUCAGAACAGGGUUCAAUUCCGAGGGGUGAGACCAACCAACCUUUCUUGGGGAAAAGGAAACUGCUGCAAAUGAGUUUAAGAUAACUCAUCUUUAGUAAUCCUGCAUUGGGGAAAAUAAAAUAUAUGAAAAUGCAUUAUGAAUGUAAGAUAAAGGCAAAGGUGGUUUUUUUUUCAUUAUUCAUGUUCUAAUAAUAAUAAUUGUUUAAUCAAAUAUAAUAUAAUCUUUACUGCUGACAACAACAUAGCAUCAAAUCUGCUAAUGCAUGCCUGAAGAAAGGAACACACACGCACACACACACACACACACACACACACACACACACACACACACUGAGCUGUGGUGUGGUGUGGUGUGGUGUAAUCCAAUCAGAGUCCCUGAAUGAAAAAGGGCGGAGGAGAACAUGUGGAUUAAGGUGCUGAACAGCUGAUCUCAAGGGAUCAAAUAAAUCGACACUGUCCUGCGCAGGACCGAGGCCUCGUCCCACACAGCCCACAGGGCCCCAAAGGGCCCCUGAACUGAUUUACUGAUGAGGUUGUGCAGCAUUCUAACUGUCCAGCAUGUCGGCCUUUAAUUAGGUUAGUUUCUAAUAGACUUGAUUGAGGUCCUACCUGCAGAUAUGAAACAUCCAGGUGGGUUCAGACAGCUGUGACGGUCCAGGCAGGUCUGAGACGGUGACUUCUGUGUCUUAUUUAUUCACCCACUCAGGCUAACGUGUCCCACACAGUAGUGUUGUGCUCUGAUGGAACUUUAGACCUUUAUUCUGACUCUGCAGAUGACACGAGUCCUCAUGCUGGUUGUCGGGCUGCAGAGUCCUGCUAGUCUCCACCACGACCGUCUAAUUAUCACAUCAGUCACAGGAGUCACAUCAGUUCCAGCAGGUGAAUGCAUUUAAAAUCAGACAGAACCACAUGGCAGCUUUGUAGCUGCAGGGCUGCACUACGUUUUACAGACAUUUUAAAAUUGAUUGAAAUCAGUGGUGUUGAUGCAACAAGAGGAAAAUGCUUUUGUAGCUCUUCACAUUAAAAAGGUUAUUAAAUCGACUGAAAAGACCAUUUUUUUAUAUGUCAAAUUUUCUUUCUGAAAAUAAAAUGUAGAAUAUGCCUGUAAAUAGAUAAAUAGAAUAUGUGAAUAUGUGAAUAUAAGGAUUAAUAAAUGCUAAAAUAUACCCAUAAUAAACGCGUCACAAGUUUCCUGACAUUGGAUGGACGCAGUUUUACAGUUUUGAGCUCGUGAUCAUGUCGGUUAGAAUGUGUGAUAACAGCUACCGUGAUGUUAAUCCUGCACUUCUCACAUCUCCGUGUGUGUGUGUGUGUGUGUGAGAGAGAGAGAGAGAGAGAGAGAGAGUCUGUGUGUGUGUGUGUGUGUGUGCGAGAGAGAGAGAGAGAGAGUCUGUGUGUGUGUGUGUGUGUGUGCGAGAGAGAGAAAGAGUCUGUGUGUGGAUGUGUGUGUCUGCAUUUGCAGCCCUCCACAAGCUCUCAUUUGCUCUUUACGUUAUACUCGCCACCACGUAAAUGCAUGCAGAGCUAGUUGCCAAGGCAACCAGGAGCUGGCAUAGAAGCGUUGUGGAGAGGUGCAGCAUGGCAGCAACCAGACUGACACGUGUGUGUGUGUGUGUGUGUGUGUGUGUGUGUGUGUGUUCGUUGUUCAUAUUCCUCUACUGACCCAUAAUGUGACAUGAUGUGGCGUGUGUGUGUGUGUGUGUAAGUGUGUGUGUACAUUUUGAGUGUUGUCUGUCACGUUGUGCUCGGGGGUUUUGGGGCAGUCGGUGGUCUUUCCUCCGAUUGUGAAGGUUCUCG